GUGCCAGCAGCCGCGGUAAUACAGAGGGGGCAAGCGUUGUUCGGAAUCACUGGGUGUAAAGGGUGCGUAGGCGGUCAGUUAAGUCUGAUGUGAAAGCCCUGGGCUCAACUCAGGAAUUGCAUUGGAAACUAGCUGGCUUGGAGUAUCGGAGAGGGAAGCGGAAUUCCUGGUGUAGCGGUGAAAUGCGUAGAUACCAGGAGGAACACCGGUGGCGAAGGCGGCUUCCUGGCCGAAUACUGACGCUGAGGCACGAAAGCGUGGGGAGCAAACGGGAUUAGAUACCCCAGUAGUCC
This 293-nucleotide ribosomal RNA is filed under the name uncultured bacterium. RNAcentral describes it as "partial 16S ribosomal RNA". It matches the Rfam family "Bacterial small subunit ribosomal RNA", at positions 505 to 796 of the family's 1533-position model. The record is from RNAcentral.